Molecule: ribosomal RNA, 446 nt
Filed under: uncultured bacterium
Lineage: Bacteria
Description: partial 16S ribosomal RNA
Rfam family: Bacterial small subunit ribosomal RNA
Source: RNAcentral
CCUACGGGUGGCAGCAGUCGAGAAUCAUUCACAAUGGGGGAAACCCUGAUGGUGCGACGCCGCGUGGGGGAAUGAAGGUCUUCGGAUGGUAAACCCCUGUCAUGUGGGAGCAAAUUAAAAAGAUAGUACCACAAGAGGAAGAGACGGCUAACUCUGUGCCAGCAGCCGCGGUAAUACAGAGGUCUCAAGCGUUGUUCGGCAUCACGGGGCGUAAAGCGUGCGGAGGCUGUUUCGUAAGUCGUGUGUGAAAGGCGCGGGCUCAACCCGCGGACGGCACAUGAUACUGCGAGACUAGAGUAAUGGAGGGGGAACCGGAAUUCUCGGUGUAGCAGUGAAAUGCGUAGAUAUCGAGAGGAACACUCGUGGCGAAGGCGGGUUCCUGGACAUUAACUGACGCUGAGGCACGAAGGCCAGGGGAGCGAAAGGGAUUAGAUACCCCUGUAGUC